AAUGAAGUGCCUGAUAAAAGGAUUAUCGUGAUAGGAUAAAUCAUGUGAUUAAAUCACCUUCAUUA
Molecule: transfer RNA, 65 nt
Filed under: Diestramima sp. ZJZ-2017
Lineage: Eukaryota; Metazoa; Arthropoda; Insecta; Orthoptera; Rhaphidophoridae
Description: tRNA-Ile
Source: RNAcentral